AUGUGGCGCUGGAUGGUUCAAAACGGCGAGUGGUUAUGGUGCAGCUCAUAUUCGAUUGUUGUUCCAAAGUUUGUUUAUAUUCUCCCUACAGUAAAACCAACAACUUUAUCUCGUAUCAAAAUCGUGUGCAAGAAAUCAACGGUAAUGGUAUGUGGAACUAGAAGCACGACGAUCAGAGAAAAAAAUAAAAAUACAGUGGUAGUUAAAAUUGUGGAUUUUGUGGAACUCGAAGCACAGUGA
Vicia faba (fava bean) is the source of this 240-nucleotide non-coding RNA. The record is from the annotation of a GenBank genome assembly. NCBI's taxonomy places the organism in Eukaryota, Viridiplantae, Streptophyta, Magnoliopsida, Fabales, Fabaceae.